Molecule: ribosomal RNA, 1372 nt
Filed under: uncultured bacterium
Lineage: Bacteria
Description: bacterial SSU rRNA
Rfam family: Bacterial small subunit ribosomal RNA
Source: RNAcentral
GAUGAACUUUGGCGGCGUGCCUAAUACAUGCAAGUCGAGCGAACGGACGAGAAGCUUGCUUCUCUGAUGUUAGCGGCGGACGGGUGAGUAACACGUGGAUAACCUACCUAUAAGACUGGGAUAACUUCGGGAAACCGGAGCUAAUACCGGAUAAUAUUUUGAACCGCAUGGUUCAAAAGUAAAAGACGGUCUUGCUGUCACUUAUAGAUGGAUCCGCGCUGCAUUAGCUAGUUGGUAAGGUAACGGCUUACCAAGGCAACGAUGCAUAGCCGACCUGAGAGGGUGAUCGGCCACACUGGAACUGAGACACGGUCCAGACUCCUACGGGAGGCAGCAGUAGGGAAUCUUCCGCAAUGGGCGAAAGCCUGACGGAGCAACGCCGCGUGAGUGAUGAAGGUCUUCGGAUCGUAAAACUCUGUUAUUAGGGAAGAACAUAUGUGUAAGUAACUGUGCACAUCUUGACGGUACCUAAUCAGAAAGCCACGGCUAACUACGUGCCAGCAGCCGCGGUAAUACGUAGGUGGCAAGCGUUAUCCGGAAUUAUUGGGCGUAAAGCGCGCGUAGGCGGUUUUUUAAGUCUGAUGUGAAAGCCCACGGCUCAACCGUGGAGGGUCAUUGGAAACUGGAAAACUUGAGUGCAGAAGAGGAAAGUGGAAUUCCAUGUGUAGCGGUGAAAUGCGCAGAGAUAUGGAGGAACACCAGUGGCGAAGGCGACUUUCUGGUCUGUAACUGACGCUGAUGUGCGAAAGCGUGGGGAUCAAACAGGAUUAGAUACCCUGGUAGUCCACGCCGUAAACGAUGAGUGCUAAGUGUUAGGGGGUUUCCGCCCCUUAGUGCUGCAGCUAACGCAUUAAGCACUCCGCCUGGGGAGUACGACCGCAAGGUUGAAACUCAAAGGAAUUGACGGGGACCCGCACAAGCGGUGGAGCAUGUGGUUUAAUUCGAAGCAACGCGAAGAACCUUACCAAAUCUUGACAUCCUUUGACAACUCUAGAGAUAGAGCCUUCCCCUUCGGGGGACAAAGUGACAGGUGGUGCAUGGUUGUCGUCAGCUCGUGUCGUGAGAUGUUGGGUUAAGUCCCGCAACGAGCGCAACCCUUAAGCUUAGUUGCCAUCAUUAAGUUGGGCACUCUAAGUUGACUGCCGGUGACAAACCGGAGGAAGGUGGGGAUGACGUCAAAUCAUCAUGCCCCUUAUGAUUUGGGCUACACACGUGCUACAAUGGACAAUACAAAGGGCAGCGAAACCGCGAGGUCAAGCAAAUCCCAUAAAGUUGUUCUCAGUUCGGAUUGUAGUCUGCAACUCGACUACAUGAAGCUGGAAUCGCUAGUAAUCGUAAAGCAGCAUGCUAUGGUGAAUACGUUCCCGGGUCU